Molecule: long non-coding RNA, 1140 nt
Filed under: Phascolarctos cinereus (koala)
Lineage: Eukaryota; Metazoa; Chordata; Mammalia; Diprotodontia; Phascolarctidae
Description: lncRNA (ENSPCIG00000032725.1)
Source: RNAcentral
GCUCUUAAUAGAUGUUUAUUGAUUCUUGGAUUAUUUGUACAUAGUUGUUUGCAUGUUGUCUUCCCCAUUAGAUCAUGAUUCGAGGGAAAGAAGUGCUUUAAUUUUGCCUUUUUUUGUAGCUCCAGAACGCAGUGCCUGACACAUGGUAGGCACUUACUAAACACUUACUGAUUUAAUCUAAGAAGAAAGACACUAGUAUUAAGGAGGGGCUUAGGAAGGUUUCUGGACUGGAUGACUUUUUUAUUUUUAAUUGGACGAUUUUCACUAACAACAACAUCAAAAAACAGUAAUAACAACCAGCAUUUACUUAGGGCAAAGCACUUUACACGCGCUAACUCAUUUGGUCCUCACAACAACCCUAGAAGUAGGGGCUACAAUUACUCUCAUUUUACAGAUAAGGAAACUGAGGCUGAGAAGGCCAAAGUGAUUUGUCCACGGUCACGCGGAUGGAGUCUGAAGCAGGAUUUGAACUCAGCUUUUUGACCCCAAGUCCACAGCGUCACCAGGACGCCUUUACAAUUUCCUUCCACCACCAAACGGAGAUGCCUCUGGGUCAGGGAAGGUGCACGCAGGAAUCCAGCUUUGCCUAGUCGCCUUUAGUGGCGCGCCUGCGCGCAGCGCUCCUUCUGCCCAAUCAAGGGUGAGGCGCGCGUGCGCGUGCGCGGGUGCGUGGUGCGGGAGGGGAGUGGGGGAGGAGGAGUUCUUCCCUGCGCCUGCGCGUACUCCGGCUCUGGCUGGCCUCGCGCUCGCGCUCCCGUUCGGCUCGGCUCGGCUCGGCUCGGCUCGGCUCGGCUCGGCUCGGCUCGGCUCGGCUCGGCUCGGCUCGGCUCGGCUCGGCUCGGCUCGGCUCGGCUGGGGCUCGGCUCGGCUCGGCUCGGCUCGGCACACGCAGCUGCACGCCGCCGGUCCCGGCCUUACCCUGCUCUGCUUAGUGUCAGGCUGAGCGGCGGCCGCUGCGGCACCAGGACGAUGAGGUUCUUGCUGCUCCUGCUCAUGGCGGCGGCGGCGCUGCGGGUCGAGGCCUCGGCCAACACGGGCGGCGUGCCGGGCAAGCGGCUCAAGAUGCAGUACGCCACGGGGCCGCUGCUCAAGUUCCAGAUCUGGAGCCCUCUUCAUUAUAUCCAGUUCUCUCAUAUUUGA